GAUGAACGCUAGCGGCAGGCUUAAUACAUGCAAGUCGAGGGGUAACAGGGAAGCUUGCUUCUGCUGACGACCGGCGCACGGGUGCGUAACGCGUAUGCAACCUACCUUAUACAGGGGGAUAGCCCGAAGAAAUUCGGAUUAAUACCCCAUAGUAUUACAGAUUCGCAUGAUGAAGUAAUUAAAGAUUUAUCGGUAUAAGAUGGGCAUGCGUCUGAUUAGAUAGUUGGUGAGGUAACGGCUCACCAAGUCCACGAUCAGUAGGGGUUCUGAGAGGAAGAUCCCCCACACUGGCACUGAGAUACGGGCCAG
Molecule: ribosomal RNA, 309 nt
Filed under: uncultured bacterium
Lineage: Bacteria
Description: bacterial SSU rRNA
Rfam family: Bacterial small subunit ribosomal RNA
Source: RNAcentral